This 849-nucleotide long non-coding RNA is filed under the name Parus major (Great Tit). RNAcentral describes it as "lncRNA (ENSPMJG00000006816.1)". Lineage: Eukaryota; Metazoa; Chordata; Aves; Passeriformes; Paridae. The record is from RNAcentral.
AUGGACAUUUUCUGGCCGUGGCUAAUUAAGGAUUCAUCCUCUCCCCGCGGUGUUUCCAUGCCUGGCACAGCUGCUGCUCCCCAGCAGCCCUCCGAGGUUUGCUCCUGUCACAGCAGCCCCGGCUCUGUCACCAGAGCUGCUGCAGCCUGGAGAGCCACGGAGCGAUGGGCGGCCUCCAGGGAAUGGAACGAGAGCAGGGAAAUAAACCAAAUAUCGGUGUCUUUUAUACACCUGCAGAAAAGAGCUGGGGAAUGUCCAAGGUUCAAGGGAAUCUGCUGCCUUGCUAUUUUUACCUGGAUUGGAGACGCAUCAAAGCCGAUUUUGGAGGAGAGGAGGAACUCAGCCUUUAAACUGACAAUGGCUGCUUUUGAUCCCGGACUCAUUAAAACCCGAUCCUGCUGUGGGAUUGUUCCCCUCUCCCCAAAGCUGUGGGCUGGGGGUGCUGUCCCCGAGCCCCACAAACAGGAGCUGGUCCUGGUGGGAGCCCAGAGCCCAGCCCGGCUCCCUCCCGACCCCAACCAGCCCAGGGCCACCCCCACAACACCACAAAUUAACUAAUGAGGGCUUGAUUACCUCGCCAGAGCGCGGCUUUGGGAGAUUUGGAGCGGGGUUUUCAGCUGGCCGUGGGGAGAGGUCUCUGCUCCUGCCCCAGGGCCGCCUGCAGGCUCCUCCUGGGGGCUCCAAACUGGGAUUUCAUCAAGGGAAAAUCCCAGUGUUUGCUUGGAUGUGGGGACAAUUAAACCAAACCUGCAGGGAAGCUGAUCAUUAAACCAUCAAAUCCAGCCUGGGAACCUCUCCUCGCUCUCCCCAAAACAUCCUCGGGGGGUUUCAAAGGAACGCCGAGAUCCC